AUGAAAAGGCGAAGAUGGCCUGGUAACCCUAGUUGCUCUUUUUGUAAUAAUGUUGAAACAUCCCAACACUUGUUUUUUACUUGCCCUGUUGCUAAUGUGGUGUGGCGCUGUAUUGGGAUGGCAUUGGGUACAGACAGGUGCCCAAAUAACUACUGGCAAUAUUAUGCUUGGUGCAACACUUUCCUCCCCGGCGGAGAGGAAUACUAUACCGUAGGCCUGGCUGCCGCGUGUUGGGCUAUAUGGCUUGCUCGUAACCGAGCUACCUUUGAGAAAAAACAAAUCAAAACACCUUUCGAGAUUGUUUUCUCCAUGUGCUCCUUUCUCAUAUAUUGGACAGGUCUUCAAAGCGAAGGAGGAGCCAAGGAGCUGCAGGGAGGCGCAGAGAUGAUCAGGGCGGGUACAAUGAAUCUGCUGAAGAUGUGCAACGCGAUGCACCGACCGAUCGAGAGCGAAUAG
This 456-nucleotide ribosomal RNA is filed under the name Triticum aestivum (bread wheat). Its description in RNAcentral is "partial small subunit ribosomal RNA". The record is from RNAcentral. Lineage: Eukaryota; Viridiplantae; Streptophyta; Magnoliopsida; Poales; Poaceae.